RNAcentral lists this ribosomal RNA (912 nucleotides) under uncultured bacterium. RNAcentral's name for it is "bacterial SSU rRNA". It matches the Rfam family "Bacterial small subunit ribosomal RNA", at positions 8 to 916 of the family's 1533-position model. The record is from RNAcentral.
AGAGUUUGAUCCUGGCUCAGAACGAACGCUGGCGGCGUGGAUAAGACAUGCAAGUCGAACGGAGACUCUUUAGCUUGCUAUGGAGUCUUAGUGGCGAACGGGUGAGUAACACGUGAGUGACCUGCCCUGAAGCGCGGGAUAGCCCGGGGAAACUCGGAUUAAUACCGCAUGUGAUUGAAAAAUUAAAGGUGCCGCAAGGUGCCGCUUCGGGAUGGGCUCGCGGCCUAUCAGCUAGAUGGUGGGGUAAAGGCCUACCAUGGCGAUGACGGGUAACUGGUCUGAGAGGAUGAUCAGUCACACUGGAACUGAGACACGGUCCAGACACCUACGGGUGGCAGCAGUCGAGAAUCAUUCGCAAUGGGGGAAACCCUGACGGUGCGACGCCGCGUGGAGGAUGACGGCCUUCGGGUUGUAAACUCCUGUCAUCGGUGAGUAAGGUUUUGCGGAGUAACUGCCGCAAAGAUUGAUAGUAGCCGAAGAGGAAGGGACGGCUAACUUCGUGCCAGCAGCCGCGGUAAUACGAAGGUCCCAAGCGUUGUUCGGAAUCACUGGGCGUAAAGCGUGCGUAGGCGGCGGGGUAAGUCAGAUGUGAAAGGCAGGGGCUCAACUCCUGGACUGCAUCCGAUACUGCCUUGCUCGAGUAGUGGAGGGGAGUCUGGAAUUCUCGGUGGAGCAGUGAAAUGCGUAGAUAUCGAGAGGAACACUAGUGGCGAAGGCGAGACUCUGGACACUUACUGACGCUCAGGCACGAAGGCCAGGGUAGCGAAAGGGAUUAGAUACCCCUGUAGUCCUGGCAGUAAACGGUGCACGUUUGGUGUGGGAAGGUUCGACCCUUUCCGUGCCGAAGCUAACGCGUUAAACGUGCCGCCUGGGGAGUACGGCCGCAAGGCUAAAACUCAAAGGAAUUGACGG